Triticum aestivum (bread wheat) is the source of this 851-nucleotide long non-coding RNA. RefSeq lists it as uncharacterized. The record is from RefSeq and is a predicted model, not a curated record. The transcript is spliced from 2 exons. NCBI's taxonomy places the organism in Eukaryota, Viridiplantae, Streptophyta, Magnoliopsida, Poales, Poaceae.
UCAUAUAGUAUUAUAUUUAUUGCCAUGCAUGACACAAAGUACCAUAACAUUUAAUAUGAUACGGUAUCAUGAUAUGAUACUACAUCCUUUCUUUCUUUAUUUAAUGCUACGAUACCUCAUCAAAAUUGCCUAGUUAAAAUGCAUGAUACCAGCUAUGAUACUACCAUUACGACGAGCCUUACCUCUACUUAUGGUGCAUCACUUCAGGAGCCAACGCCACCACUGGACGGUGGCAGCCCAACAACCAACUCCAUAUCCCCUCGACCCCUUCAUCUCGGCUUCUACAUCCAUGCCCAGGUACGACGGCGGGGCGGCAACAGUGGCGGGGAGGCGCAAGAUCUGAGCUGCGAUGCGGAGCGGCUCGACGUACAAGAGCGCUGCUGCGCCCAGGUCCAGGAGCAAGAUUGCACGGGUGUGCCGGGAGGCAGCCGCAGACCACGGCGAGGAGCGUGGCCGUGCAGAGGAGGUGAUGGCCACACCAAACAGCGGCCACUCAAGUUCCAAGGAUGAGUUUGAUUCAAUCGUAACUGAAGACUAGAAGAUGAUGCCUAGAACACUGAGGUGAAGAAUGGAAGAUGAUACAUGGUUCUACCCGUGCGUGCUUGAUGUUGUGCUAUGCCAUUUUGUGGGAAACUAAGACUGAGAAUGAUGUUGUGUUGUUGCUAUGUCAUUUCGCGAUGACUGAAAAUUGUGUACUUAUGUUUAUUCGAUGUUAUGUCAUUUUGUGAGAAUGUGAGAGAUUAUUUGGUGAUCUGCACUUUCCAGUGUCAUCUUGUGAGAAUCCAAGAGAUGAUUUGAUGCUAUGCACUUGUGCUAUGUCGUUUUGUGAGAGAUUAUGUGAAUCUUGUGCA